ACUGUCUGCUCUGCCUGGAUCCUGCUGCCCUGCGCUAUCUGCCCAGCCUGAGAUAUCCGCUCCGUGCUGCCCUUCCCCAUGUGAAGACUCAAGACCUGUUCCUGUUACGCCAUCCUGACAAUAAACCUGUUCUUAUCUCUACA
Long non-coding RNA from Oryzias melastigma (Indian medaka), 143 nucleotides. RefSeq lists it as uncharacterized. The transcript has 2 exons. The record is from RefSeq and is a predicted model, not a curated record. NCBI's taxonomy places the organism in Eukaryota, Metazoa, Chordata, Actinopteri, Beloniformes, Adrianichthyidae.